UCCGAUAUGGCCGAGUGGUUUAAGGCGACACGCUUAAGACGUGUUGUGCGUAAGCACGCGUGGGUUCGAACCCCACUGUCGGAA
Gongronella butleri is the source of this 84-nucleotide non-coding RNA. Lineage: Eukaryota; Fungi; Mucoromycota; Mucoromycetes; Mucorales; Cunninghamellaceae. The record is from the annotation of a GenBank genome assembly.